UACAGAGGUUUCGAGCGUUAGGCGGAAUCACUGGGCUUAAAGCGUGUGUAGGCGGAUCGUUAAGUGCCUUGUGAAAUCCCACGGCUCAACCGUGGAACUGCUUGGCAUACUGGCGGUCUUGAGCAACCUAGGGGCGAGCGGAACAAAUGGUGGAGCGGUGAAAUGCGUAGAUAUCAUUUGGAACGCCAAUGGUGAAAACAGCUCGCUGGGGGUUUGCUGACGCUGAGACACGAAAGCCAGGGGAGCAAACGGG
RNAcentral lists this ribosomal RNA (253 nucleotides) under uncultured bacterium. RNAcentral describes it as "partial 16S ribosomal RNA". It matches the Rfam family "Bacterial small subunit ribosomal RNA", at positions 524 to 776 of the family's 1533-position model. The record is from RNAcentral.